This 460-nucleotide ribosomal RNA is filed under the name uncultured bacterium. RNAcentral's name for it is "partial 16S ribosomal RNA". It matches the Rfam family "Bacterial small subunit ribosomal RNA", at positions 338 to 795 of the family's 1533-position model. The record is from RNAcentral.
CCUACGGGAGGCAGCAGUGAGGAAUAUUGGUCAAUGGACGAGAGUCUGAACCAGCCAAGUAGCGUGAAGGAUGACUGCCCUAUGGGUUGUAAACUUCUUUUAUAUGGGAAUAAAAUGUUCCACGUGUGGGAUUUUGUAUGUACCAUAUGAAUAAGGAACGGCUAACUCCGUGCCAGCAGCCGCGGUAAUACGGAGGAUCCGAGCGUUAUCCGGAUUUAUUGGGUGUAAAGGGAGCGUAGGUGGAUUGUUAAGUCAGUUGUGAAAGUUUGCGGCUCAACCGUAAAAUUGCAGUUGAAACUGGCAGUCUUGAGUACAGUAGAGGUGGGCGGAAUUCGUGGUGUAGCGGUGAAAUGCUUAGAUAUCACGAAGAACUCCGAUUGCGAAGGCAGUUCACUGGACUGCAACUGACACUGAGGCUCGAAAGUGUGGGUAUCAAACAGGAUUAGAUACCCUAGUAGUC